AGGACUAUACUUUCAGGGAUCAUUUCUGUAGUUGGUAACUAGAGGAGUGUGAUCGAAAGUGUCCGGUCUCGCAAGCCACGAGGAGGAGGCGCGGUGCUCUCUCCUGAGCGCGAAGCGGGUGGCGGUGCUGCCUUGGCAGCGGCCGUGACCAUUGAUGACCGUUCCUGCUUCCCUUGGGGAGCAGGAGGGAGAGAGCACGGGCUGAGUGGU
Tinamus guttatus (white-throated tinamou) is the source of this 210-nucleotide non-coding RNA. NCBI's taxonomy places the organism in Eukaryota, Metazoa, Chordata, Aves, Tinamiformes, Tinamidae. The record is from Rfam.